Molecule: long non-coding RNA, 334 nt
Organism: Stegostoma tigrinum
Lineage: Eukaryota; Metazoa; Chordata; Chondrichthyes; Orectolobiformes; Stegostomatidae
Exons: 3
Source: RefSeq, a predicted model, not a curated record
GCAAGCGUGAUGGUGAAUGAUUGCACUUCACAUGAGCUUGAGAGAGUGAAAAAAAAAGUGAUCGCCCUGGCCCUGCCGUCCAGCUCAAACCAGCCGGGGAUCUGUUGCUCAGCUGGGGUUAGGUUCAAACUAUCAGUACGUCCCAAGAAACACAACUUCACCCUAUUCUCACCUUGAUCCUUCCUUGUACAGUUGCCGCUCGUAUGACUCAAUUUCUGCGAUCGCCCAAUGUAACAGUAAGACAGACCGUGACUUUUCACUGCUCGUUGCUGCUAUUCCGAGAUUGUAGUCCCAAUGCAUCCAUUCUUUGCCGGACGUACUUCUGUGUAGCAAC